This is an unclassified non-coding RNA of Callithrix jacchus (white-tufted-ear marmoset), 296 nucleotides long. It matches the Rfam family "Metazoan signal recognition particle RNA". Rfam says of the family: The signal recognition particle (SRP) is a universally conserved ribonucleoprotein. It is involved in the co-translational targeting of proteins to membranes. The eukaryotic SRP consists of a 300-nucleotide 7S RNA and six proteins: SRPs 72, 68, 54, 19, 14, and 9. The record is from Ensembl. NCBI's taxonomy places the organism in Eukaryota, Metazoa, Chordata, Mammalia, Primates, Cebidae.
GCUGGGCGCAGUGGGGCAUGCCUAUAGUCCCAGCUAUUCGGGAGGCUGAGGCUAGAGGAUCUCUUGAGUCCAGGAGUUCUGGGCUGUAGUGCGGGAUGCCGAUCGGGUGACUUUACUAAGUUCAGCAUCAAUAUGGUGACCUCCCAGGAGGGGGAGAUCACCAGGUUGCCUAAGGAGGGGUGAACUGGCCCAGGUUGGAAAUGGAGCAGGUCAAAACUCCCAUGCUGAUCAGUAGUGGGAUCGCACCUAUGAAUAGCCAUUGCACUCCAGCCGGGGCAACAUAGUGAGACCCCCAU